Molecule: ribosomal RNA, 505 nt
Filed under: uncultured bacterium
Lineage: Bacteria
Description: partial 16S ribosomal RNA
Rfam family: Bacterial small subunit ribosomal RNA
Source: RNAcentral
AGUGAACGCUGGCGGUAGGCCUAACACAUGCAAGUCGAACGGCAGCACAGAGGAGCUUGCUCCUUGGGUGGCGAGUGGCGGACGGGUGAGGAAUACAUCGGAAUCUACUCUGUCGUGGGGGAUAACGUAGGGAAACUUACGCUAAUACCGCAUACGACCUACGGGUGAAAGCAGGGGAUCUUCGGACCUUGCGCGAUUGAAUGAGCCGAUGUCGGAUUAGCUAGUUGGCGGGGUAAAGGCCCAACAAGGCGAUGAUCCGUAGCUGGUCUGAGAGGAUGAUCCGCCACACUGGAACUGAGACACGGUCCAGACUCCUACGGGAGGCAGCAGUGGGGAAUAUUGGGCAAUGGGCGCAAGCCUGAUCCAGCCAUACCGCGUGGUGAAGAAGGCCUUCGGGUUGUAAAGCCCUUUUGUUGGGAAAGAAAUCCAUCUGGUUAAUACCCGGGUGGGAUGACGGUACCCAAAGAAUAAGCACCGGCUAACUUCGUGCCAGCCGCCGCCGUAA